UGGGGAAUAUUGGACAAUGGGCGCAAGCCUGAUCCAGCCAUGCCGCGUGAGUGAUGAAGGCUCUAGGGUUGUAAAGCUCUUUCACCGGUGAAGAUAAUGACGGUAACCGGAGAAGAAGCCCCGGCUAACUUCGUGCCAGCAGCCGCGGUAAUACGAAGGGGGCUAGCGUUGUUCGGAUUUACUGGGCGUAAAGCGCACGUAGGCGGACUUUUAAGUCAGGGGUGAAAUCCCGGGGCUCAACCCCGGAACUGCCUUUGAUACUGGAAGUAUUGAGUAGGAUAGAGGUGAGUGGAAUUCCGAGUGUAGAGGUGAAAUUCGUAGAUAUUCGGAGGAACACCAGUGGCGAAAGCGGCUCACUGGACCAUUACUCACGCUGAGGUGCGAAAGCGUGGGGAGCAAACAGG
RNAcentral lists this ribosomal RNA (404 nucleotides) under Actinomycetes bacterium. Its description in RNAcentral is "Actinobacteria bacterium partial 16S ribosomal RNA". It matches the Rfam family "Bacterial small subunit ribosomal RNA", at positions 355 to 776 of the family's 1533-position model. Lineage: Bacteria; Bacillati; Actinomycetota; Actinomycetes. The record is from RNAcentral.